UUCCUCCUGUUCCUUUUCCAUCGGAUCUGAAAGUUAGUCUUGGUGGUCGUGAAAGGAGGAAAACUAAUACUGAAGCUGGCCUCAAUGUUGUAAUCUGGUAUAUAGCAUGUGGGCUAGUUUCAAACAGGU
Aotus nancymaae (Ma's night monkey) is the source of this 129-nucleotide small nucleolar RNA. The record is from Ensembl. NCBI's taxonomy places the organism in Eukaryota, Metazoa, Chordata, Mammalia, Primates, Aotidae.